CCUACGGGUGGCUGCAGUGGGGAAUAUUGGACAAUGGGGGGAACCCUGAUCCAGCCAUGCCGCGUGUGUGAAGAAGGCCCUCGGGUUGUAAAGCACUUUCAGUGAGGAAGAACGCCUGGUGGUUAAUACCCAUCAGGAAAGACAUCACUCACAGAAGAAGCACCGGCUAACUCCGUGCCAGCAGCCGCGGUAAUACGGAGGGUGCGAGCGUUAAUCGGAAUUACUGGGCGUAAAGCGCGCGUAGGUGGCUUGAUAAGCCGGUUGUGAAAGCCCCGGGCUCAACCUGGGAACGGCAUCCGGAACUGUCAAGCUAGAGUGCAGGAGAGGAAGGUAGAAUUCCCGGUGUAGCGGUGAGAUGCGUAGAGAUCGGGAGGAAUACCAGUGGCGAAGGCGGCCUUCUGGACUGACACUGACACUGAGGUGCGAAAGCGUGGGUAGCAAACAGGAUUAGAUACCCCAGUAGUC
Molecule: ribosomal RNA, 465 nt
Filed under: Vreelandella stevensii
Lineage: Bacteria; Pseudomonadati; Pseudomonadota; Gammaproteobacteria; Oceanospirillales; Halomonadaceae
Description: partial 16S ribosomal RNA
Rfam family: Bacterial small subunit ribosomal RNA
Source: RNAcentral